RNAcentral lists this transfer RNA (66 nucleotides) under Coraebus cloueti. RNAcentral describes it as "tRNA-Trp". Lineage: Eukaryota; Metazoa; Arthropoda; Insecta; Coleoptera; Buprestidae. The record is from RNAcentral.
AAGGAUUUAAGUUAAAUAAACUAUCAACCUUCAAAGUUGGAAAUAAGACCCUAUUUUUAAGCCUUA